CAGAACCAAGAGAUCCGUUGUUGAAAGUUGUAAUUAUUAAAAUAAUUCAGACGCUGAUUAAAYAUUAAAUAGGUUAUUGGUUUGUCCAUUCGGCAGGCAAGCCCGCCGAGGAAACAUGAGUGCGCAAAAAGUCAAGGGUUAAGAAUAGGAUGUACUCACCCCCAGGAAGACCUGGAAACUUUCCACCCCCUUCAAACGGUAGUAAACUACCGAUAAUUAAUGAUCCUU
Molecule: unclassified non-coding RNA, 228 nt
Filed under: uncultured Phaeosphaeria
Lineage: Eukaryota; Fungi; Ascomycota; Dothideomycetes; Pleosporales; Phaeosphaeriaceae
Description: sequence contains ITS1
Source: RNAcentral